GAUAAUGGCUCAGGACGAACGCUGGCGGCGUGCCUAACACAUGCAAGUCGAACGAAGCUCUGCGAUACAAGACUUCGGUCAAGUUGAACGGAUGACUUAGUGGCGGACGGGUGAGUAACGCGUGAGGAACCUGCCUUUCAGUGGGGGACAACAGUUGGAAACGACUGCUAAUACCGCAUAAUGUAUUCUGACCGCAUGAUCGGAAUACCAAAGAUUUAUUGCUGAAAGAUGGCCUCGCG
RNAcentral lists this ribosomal RNA (239 nucleotides) under uncultured bacterium. RNAcentral describes it as "partial 16S ribosomal RNA". It matches the Rfam family "Bacterial small subunit ribosomal RNA", at positions 15 to 235 of the family's 1533-position model. The record is from RNAcentral.